This 874-nucleotide ribosomal RNA is filed under the name Curvularia hominis. Its description in RNAcentral is "eukaryotic LSU rRNA". It matches the Rfam family "Eukaryotic large subunit ribosomal RNA", at positions 68 to 960 of the family's 3401-position model. Lineage: Eukaryota; Fungi; Ascomycota; Dothideomycetes; Pleosporales; Pleosporaceae. The record is from RNAcentral.
ACAGGGAUUGCCCUAGUAACGGCGAGUGAAGCGGCAACAGCUCAAAUUUGAAAUCUGGCUCUUUCAGAGUCCGAGUUGUAAUUUGCAGAGGGCGCUUUGGCUUUGGCAGCGGUCCAAGUUCCUUGGAACAGGACGUCACAGAGGGUGAGAAUCCCGUACGUGGUCGCUAGCUAUUGCCGUGUAAAGCCCCUUCGACGAGUCGAGUUGUUUGGGAAUGCAGCUCUAAAUGGGAGGUAAAUUUCUUCUAAAGCUAAAUAUUGGCCAGAGACCGAUAGCGCACAAGUAGAGUGAUCGAAAGAUGAAAAGCACUUUGGAAAGAGAGUCAAACAGCACGUGAAAUUGUUGAAAGGGAAGCGCUUGCAGCCAGACUUGCUUGCAGUUGCUCAUCCGGGCUUUUGCCCGGUGCACUCUUCUGCAGGCAGGCCAGCAUCAGUUUGGGCGGUGGGAUAAAGGUCUCUGACACGUUCCUUCCUUCGGGUUGGCCAUAUAGGGGAGACGUCAUACCACCAGCCUGGACUGAGGUCCGCGCAUCUGCUAGGAUGCUGGCGUAAUGGCUGUAAGCGGCCCGUCUUGAAACACGGACCAAGGAGUCUAACAUCUAUGCGAGUGUUUGGGUGUCAAGCCCGAGCGCGUAAUGAAAGUGAACGGAGGUGGGAACCCGCAAGGGCGCACCAUCGACCGAUCCUGAAGUUUACGGAAGGAUUUGAGUAAGAGCAUGGCUGUUGGGACCCGAAAGAUGGUGAACUAUGCUUGAAUAGGGUGAAGCCAGAGGAAACUCUGGUGGAGGCUCGCAGCGGUUCUGACGUGCAAAUCGAUCGUCAAAUUUGGGCAUAGGGGCGAAAGACUAAUCGAACUAUCUAGUAGCUGGUCUGGC